CAGUCGCCGCGGUAAUACAGAGGAUGCAAGCGUUAUCCGGAAUGAUUGGGCGUAAAGCGUCUGUAGGUGGCUUUUCAAGUCCGCCGUCAAAUCCCAGGGCUCAACCCUGGACAGGCGGUGGAAACUACCAAGCUGGAGUACGGUAGGGGCAGAGGGAAUUUCCGGUGUAGCGGUGAAAUGCGUAGAUAUCGGAAGGAACACCUGUGGCGAAAGCGGCUCACUGGACCAUUUCUGACGCUGAUGCACGAAAGCUAGGGGAGCAAACAGGAUUAGAUACCCGAGUAGUCCCUGUCUCUUAUAC
This 301-nucleotide ribosomal RNA is filed under the name uncultured bacterium. RNAcentral describes it as "partial 16S ribosomal RNA". It matches the Rfam family "Bacterial small subunit ribosomal RNA", at positions 509 to 807 of the family's 1533-position model. The record is from RNAcentral.